This is a long non-coding RNA of Amphimedon queenslandica, 167 nucleotides long. RefSeq lists it as uncharacterized. The transcript is spliced from 2 exons. The record is from RefSeq and is a predicted model, not a curated record. Lineage: Eukaryota; Metazoa; Porifera; Demospongiae; Haplosclerida; Niphatidae.
ACAUGUUUCUUUAAUUAAUAAAAUGGCGGAAUGAGAGUUAUUUAAAAAGUUGUGGACCUGCGCAUGGAUAGUUGGAGUAGAGUGGUGUAAAAAUUAGCCUUGUAGCAUUGUUCAAAGACCACGAUACCCCUGCUUAACUGAUUGACAGAAGAUGAUGAUGAUGAUGA